AGUGAACGCUGGCGGUAGGCCUAACACAUGCAAGUCGAACGGCAGCACAGUAAGAUCUUGCUCUUACGGGUUGCGAGUGGCGGACGGGUGAGGAACACAUCGUAAUCUACUUUUUCGUGGGGGAUAACGUAGGGAAACUUACUCUAAUACCGCAUACGACCUACGGGUGAAAUCAGGGGAUCUUCGGACCUUGCGCGAUUGAAUGAGCCGAUGUCGUAUUAGCUAGUUGGCGGGGUAAAGGCCCACCAAGGCGACGAUCCGUAGCUGGUCUGAGAGGAUGAUCAGCCACACUGGAACUGAGACACGGUCCAGACUCCUACGGGAGGCAGCAGUGGGGAAUAUUGGACAAUGGGCGAAAGCCUGAUCCAGCAAUACCGCGUGGGUGAAGAAGGCCUUCGGGUUGUAAAGCCCUUUUGUUGGGAAAGAAAAGCAGCAGGUUAAUACCCCGCUGUUCUGACGGUACCCAAAGAAUAAGCACCGGCUAACUUCGUG
RNAcentral lists this ribosomal RNA (492 nucleotides) under uncultured bacterium. RNAcentral's name for it is "partial 16S ribosomal RNA". It matches the Rfam family "Bacterial small subunit ribosomal RNA", at positions 29 to 507 of the family's 1533-position model. The record is from RNAcentral.